This 253-nucleotide ribosomal RNA is filed under the name uncultured bacterium. RNAcentral's name for it is "partial 16S ribosomal RNA". It matches the Rfam family "Bacterial small subunit ribosomal RNA", at positions 524 to 776 of the family's 1533-position model. The record is from RNAcentral.
UACGAAGGGGGCUAGCGUUGCUCGGAAUCACUGGGCGUAAAGCGCACGUAGGCGGACUCUUAAGUCAGGGGUGAAAUCCUGGAGCUCAACUCCAGAACUGCCUUUGAUACUGAGAGCCUUGAGUCCGGAAGAGGUAAGUGGAACUGCGAGUGUAGAGGUGAAAUUCGUAGAUAUUCGCAAGAACACCAGUGGCGAAGGCGGCUCACUGGUCCGGUACUGACGCUGAGGUGCGAAAGCGUGGGGAGCAAACAGG